This 484-nucleotide ribosomal RNA is filed under the name uncultured bacterium. RNAcentral's name for it is "partial 16S ribosomal RNA". It matches the Rfam family "Bacterial small subunit ribosomal RNA", at positions 30 to 507 of the family's 1533-position model. The record is from RNAcentral.
AUUGAACGCUGGCGGCAGGCCUAACACAUGCAAGUCGAGCGGAUGAAGGGAGCUUGCUCCUGGAUUCAGCGGCGGACGGGUGAGUAAUGCCUAGGAAUCUGCCUGGUAGUGGGGGAUAACGUCCGGAGACGGGCGCUAAUACCGCAUACGUCCUGAGGGAGAAAGUGGGGGAUCUUCGGACCUCACGCUAUCAGAUGAGCCUAGGUCGGAUUAGCUAGUUGGUGGGGUAAAGGCCUACCAAGGCGACGAUCCGUAACUGGUCUGAGAGGAUGAUCAGUCACACUGGAACUGAGACACGGUCCAGACUCCUACGGGAGGCAGCAGUGGGGAAUAUUGGACAAUGGGCGAAAGCCUGAUCCAGCCAUGCCGCGUGUGUGAAGAAGGUCUUCGGAUUGUAAAGCACUUUAAGUUGGGAGGAAGGGCAGUAAGUUAAUACCUUGCUGUUUUGACGUUACCAACAGAAUAGGCACCGGCUAACUUCGUG